This 115-nucleotide ribosomal RNA is filed under the name Tupaia belangeri (northern tree shrew). The record is from RNAcentral. Lineage: Eukaryota; Metazoa; Chordata; Mammalia; Scandentia; Tupaiidae.
GUCUACGGCCAUACCACCCUGAAUACACCUGAUCUCGGCUGAGGCUAAGCAUGGUCAGGCCUGGUUAGGAUACUUGAAUGGGAGCACACGCCUGGCAAACAAGCAGCCGGGGACA